CAAUAGCGUAUAUUAAAGUUGUUGCAGUUAAAAAGCUCGUAGUUGAAUUUUUGCUUGCCGCCGAUGUCGGAACUUCCGUACGUUCGGCGGCGUGCAUCCUUGGGUGGAACCUGUGUGGCAUUAGGUUGUCGUGCAGGGGAUGCUCAUCGUUUACUGUGAAAAAAUUAGAGUGUUCAAAGCAGGCUUAUGCCGUUGAAUAUAUUAGCAUGGAAUAAUAAGAUAGGACCUUGGUACUAUUUUGUUGGUUUGCGCACCGAGGUAAUGAUUAACAGGGACAGUUGGGGGUAUUCGUAUUCCAUUGUCAGAGGUGAAAUUCUUGGAUUUCUGGAAGACAAACUACUGCGAAAGCAUUUACCAAGGAUGUUUUCAUUAA
Molecule: ribosomal RNA, 373 nt
Filed under: uncultured eukaryote
Lineage: Eukaryota
Description: partial 18S ribosomal RNA
Rfam family: Eukaryotic small subunit ribosomal RNA
Source: RNAcentral